Acinonyx jubatus (cheetah) is the source of this 2643-nucleotide long non-coding RNA. RefSeq lists it as uncharacterized. The record is from RefSeq and is a predicted model, not a curated record. The transcript is spliced from 3 exons. NCBI's taxonomy places the organism in Eukaryota, Metazoa, Chordata, Mammalia, Carnivora, Felidae.
CAAUAAAAGAAAUUAGUUUAUGGAUCUGCCUUGUUUUACUGACAAAAGCCUAAGGCCAGAACAAGGAGAGUUUGUGACUGUAGGUAGAUGGUUGUAGUCCAAAAGAGGAAGAAAAAUGGCUUUCCCAAAGUUUGAAAAGAAGGUCCCGCAAGCUGCGCCAGAAGUAUUUUUCCUGUCCUUAUCCUUCACCCUUGGAAGGAACUUUAGUUGACUAGGUAUGGUAGGGUCCCCACCCUAAGGAAAGAAAAAAAAAAAACCCUCAAGGCAACCUGGCUAUAUGCAUACCUGACAACAUCCCUCAGGACCUUGUAACAAGAGACCACAUAAUCAGACUGCAUGUUUGUGUGUUACCAUAUAUGGGAGACAAAGAAGUAGAGAAUGUAUAAAAAACUACACUACAUGGCGUUUGGGGCUCAGUUCUUUGGGUACAGACCCAACUGAGCCGUGCUGGAAGAAGAAAGCUGCUUCCUGGAGAGAAAGGCCUCGGUGUCACGACUCUUGGGGGAAUCCUGUUACAUAGGAACUGCCGAAUCUGCAUCUCUGCCCCCUAAGGCUUGCUUCCCCAGAAUACUGGAAGCCUUACUGAUCCACAAAGAGGAGGAAUCAACAGAGAAAUCAGCCUGCCCCAGGAACCCUUGAGAGUCAUUGGUUUAGCUGUGUGUUUCCCUUUCACUUCUAAGCAUAUCACAGAAUCUCUCCAGUUAGUGGAUAAAUACCACAGUUCCCUCUCUCCUCCUCAGGUGGAAUACUUUUUUGUCAGCAUUUCCAUGUAAGAUGAAACUCCAAUCUUCCAUGGGCUUAACAGCAUGUACUCUACCAUCUUCUUUUUCCUGUAUUCUGUUUCUCCGUCAUACCCACUAGUGUUUUCCACACUUCCCAAUAAACUCCUUGAAUUUACAUCUUUAUUUCAAGGUCUGAUCCUGAAAGAAUCCAGACUAAGACAGAAACAAAGAAACCUGUGGAUCGGAAGGCAGGGGUAACCUGUAUUUACUUCUAGACCAAAGAUACAGGUGGUGGUGUUGAAAACCUACCUCUGUGUUUUGAAACCAAAAUAGAACGUGAAGACAGAGUUUGGGAUAAAAAAGGAACAAUAGCUUUAUUGCUUUGCAGGACGAUGGAGGCUGCAGCAGGCUGAGGCAAUCCUCACCACCCCAACCCCACCCAAGGGCUAGGGUGGGUUAUAGGGAAAUACAGGAUCUAGCCAAAUUUCUAAAGGAGUUGUGUAUGCACUGACAGCCUUGUUCCUUGUGUCUUUAAGGUGGUAUCAGGUUCCUGAAACAGAAGUCUAAAAAGGGAAGGGUAAGGUUUGCAGAAGGGAGGAAAAAUGUUACUUAGUUUAAAAUCGAGCCUCGGGAAAGCCUUAGUGCCGCCAUUUUGAUUUUUGUUCAACUUAACGUUCGAGCGGUUUCAGGGGUACAAGAACUGAACAUUUCAUUGGAUCUGGGAGCAAAAUGGCUUGCACCUUGUUUCUUGAAAGAAACCAAUGAUGAUGAUGGUAAGACCCUGGGGAUGAAAUGCUUUCAUGGUGUGUCUAGUGAAUGAAAUAAGAGGGAAUUUGUUCUCCGCGGGGGAAAACACCUCAGCUGAAAAAGACAAGACACUAACGGAAGUAUAAAAUCUUCAAAGCUUCUCUUCACAAUAUGACAGAACAUGAUCGGUUUGUGAUGGUCAAGGUAUUCCGUAAAGAUCGAUUUUCCAUUGCCGUUGUCAUGUGGGCAAUCGGCAAAGCAAGAACGAAUGAAUGAGUAAGAUGCCUUCGAGUGAAUUUACAGUAUCCUGAGCAAUCCCAGUAAUAACCGUAGAGGUCAUAAAAUAAGAGAAGCAGGAAAGAUUAUCUACAAAUCUUUAGCUGAAAGGCAACUAUUUUCUUAUUCAUUUUGUUAAAUGAUGUACUUUGGUAUUUGUUUCUCGUAAUUAAACAGCAAAUGCUGUAUUUUACAUGGAGAUAUGCUGGUAUCUUGUGAAGAGAACAGAUUAAUGUAAUGUUUUGCUACCUUUGACCUUGUAUCCUUGAGUCUCUUGAUUCUAUGUCACCAAACAUAGCACUGUAAUAGAGUUGAGGUCCAGCUAAUAGUGUGUGCUAUUCUGACUGUCAUGCUCCAUCAUUGUAACUUACUGCAUGAGGUCCCCAAAGUGGUCUCGUGAGCACACGUGCACAUGCACGCACAUGAACGCGCACGACCGUGCACACACACAACUCUCUGGAAGAAUCAAGAGGUAAUGGAGAAUGCUUUUCAAUACAAUUUCUUUGUCCAACUCAGAAAAAAGUAAAUCGGCUUGUUCAAGGGCUGAGUUCUAAAAUAUUACAUUCAAAAUGUACUAAAAUCCAUCUCUUGUAGAAUGUUUGCUAGAAAGAAAUAAAGUCACAAAGUAUCCAAGCCCUGUGUGUGUGUGUGUGUGUGUGUGUGUGUGUGUGCAUGUGUGCUCACGGGAGAGUGAUACUAUUAAGGCAAAAUAUCAGUUUACAUUUCAGUGUUCUCUUCAAUUUUUAAAUAUUAGGGUUUAUUUAAAAAUAAGUACUGUGUGAUGUCUGUGUUUCUUGAAAUUGUUUCAUCUUAGAUGACUGAUUUAAAAAAGAAAACUUCAGAAUAUAUUGUUAUUCACAAGCUAAAUAUAUUAAAUAAAUUACUCCCUUACUAUCUA